This 450-nucleotide ribosomal RNA is filed under the name uncultured bacterium. RNAcentral describes it as "partial 16S ribosomal RNA". It matches the Rfam family "Bacterial small subunit ribosomal RNA", at positions 354 to 796 of the family's 1533-position model. The record is from RNAcentral.
GUAGGGAAUCUUCCACAAUGGACGAAAGUCUGAUGGGGCAACGCCGCGUGAGUGAAGAAGGUUCUCGGAUCGUAAAACUCUGUUGUGAGGGAAGAACAAGUACCGGAGUAACUGCCGGUACCUUGACGGUACCUCAUUAGAAAGCCACGGCUAACUACGUGCCAGCAGCCGCGGUAAUACGUAGGUGGCAAGCGUUGUCCGGAAUCAUUGGGCGUAAAGCGCGCGCAGGCGGUCCCUUCAGUCUGAUGUGAAAGCCCACGGCUCAACCGUGGAGGGUCAUUGGAAACUGGGGGACUUGAGUGCAGAAGAGGAAAGCGGAAUUCCAAGUGUAGCGGUGAAAUGCGUAGAGAUUUGGAGGAACACCAGUGGCGAAGGCGGCUUUCUGGUCUGUAACUGACGCUGAGGCGCGAAAGCGUGGGGAGCAAACAGGAUUAGAAACCCUAGUAGUCC